UACGAAGGGGGCUAGCGUUGUUCGGAAUCACUGGGCGUAAAGGGCGCGUAGGCGGCCGAUCAAGUCGGGGGUGAAAGCCCGAGGCUCAACCUCGGAACUGCCUUCGAUACUGCGGGUCUCGAGUCCGGGAGAGGUGAGUGGAAUUCCUAGUGUAGAGGUGAAAUUCGUAGAUAUUAGGAAGAACACCAGUGGCGAAGGCGGCACACUGGCCCGGUACUGACGCUGAGGCGCGAAAGCGUGGGGAGCAAACAGG
This 253-nucleotide ribosomal RNA is filed under the name uncultured bacterium. RNAcentral describes it as "partial 16S ribosomal RNA". It matches the Rfam family "Bacterial small subunit ribosomal RNA", at positions 524 to 776 of the family's 1533-position model. The record is from RNAcentral.